This 301-nucleotide ribosomal RNA is filed under the name uncultured bacterium. RNAcentral's name for it is "partial 16S ribosomal RNA". It matches the Rfam family "Bacterial small subunit ribosomal RNA", at positions 509 to 809 of the family's 1533-position model. The record is from RNAcentral.
CAGUCGCCACGGUAAUACAGAGGAUGCAAGCGUUAUCCGGAAUGAUUGGGCGUAAAGCGUCUGUAGGUGGCUUUUCAAGUCCGCCGUCAAAUCCCCGGGCUCAACCCUGGACAGGCAGUGGAAACUACCAAGCUGGAGUGCGGUAGGGGCAGAGGGAAUUUCCGGUGGAGCGGUGAAAUGCGUUGAGAUCGGAAAGAGCACCAACGGCGAAAGCACUCUGCUGGGCCGACACUGACACUGAGAGACGAAAGCUAGGGGAGCAAAUGGGAUUAGAUACCCCGGUAGUCCCUGUCUCUUAUAA